ACAGCUCCAGAAUGAUUAGUCUCACACAUUCACAGCUCAGCUGAUUGGUUCAAAAACCUGGAAUGAAGUACUCAUGGCAAACCAACUGCCUUAGGAUGAAUGGGAAUUCUUAAAGAUUGCAUUCUGCAGUAGCCAAGUACUUUUUGGAGCUGCUAAACAUCUGACUUGACAUCUGAUAUGCUGCAGUUGACCUCAACACAGCUCACCCGAAUAAAAGGUGUGAUAACCGAGACGGGUCCAGUUCUGACUGAGGUUCAUAUGAAGGGACCCCAUGGCUUCCAGAUGUCACAUGAUGGCAAACAAAGAGAAAGUCCCGUGAUACAUCUGUGGGAAAUGUACUUCACAAGAGUUCAACCAUGAAUCUCUGCGUGCUUUCUCCAAUCAUCUAAGUGAGUGAUUUGUACAUUCGCCAGUUCAUUCAACUUCCCAUGAAAAUGUUUACUGAGCCAUUGCUAAUCUUUGUAAGCAUGGAUUUGCAGGAAUCACAGAGCUGAAGCUCUUCUUAGGAGAGAGGAUUAGAGGAAGAAUUCGAUGGCAUUCCAGAGGUGUUGCUGUAGAAACCGAGGACUUGGCCAAUGUAACGGUGUCAGCAUGCUGAAAUAUGAGACAUUGUAUAAAGAAAGCAGAAAAAUCCAGGGUUGACUGCAGUGGCCUUCAGAGUGGGCACAGGGUUUUUUGAAGGGAUUUCCAGUGAACUGCAGGUGUCGUGGCGCUGUGGGCUGUAUGGUACUAUUGUGAGAGGAACAAUGGCGCAGAAAGCUUGGGAACCACUGCUUUGCUUUGUUCUCGUCUAUUGUCUGUUCCCAGGAUGUCCUUCAGGAAAAUGACAAAAAGGAAGAGACUCAGCCCAGUGUACCCAAAACAAAGACUGGAGCAGCGAACCCAGAGCUUCAGCAACUUCAAAGCAGAAAUCUUUGCGGUUGAUGAGUUUACUUUAUUCAUGUCACUUCAAUGAUGUAUGAAGGCUUGGUUCCACAAAAACAAGGGCCUUUGUUGGAGAAUGUUAUCCCGGGACCUGUGAGGAAUGGGGUGCUCUAGUUGUGUCUUUCUGGCCCCCAUGAAUUUAAGUGACAUCUCUAGUGAAAGGCCAUUUCAGUGCACAACUGUUUUGCAGAUUUCUUCAGCACAAGAAAAUGAAAACCACACUGAACAGACACCGAAAUAGAACUCAAAGUGCAGGCGAAAGAAGCACUGUCAUUUGAAAACCCUGACAAAGCACGCCUUUAAACCUCUUUCCUGAAGCAGUCCAGUAACAUUUACACAGACAUCCCAAAAACAGUCAUUCCUGGUGAAAAAAUAUGGAGGCUUAUUUUGGCCACCAGACCUUCUUGUCAAACAGUGAGCAUGUGCACAUCCUCUCUCUUGAGAAGUGCUGACGUAACAACACGUUGACACUUCUCGUUCCAGCGACUGUCAGGCAUCGAAAUUGGCUAAGUCGCCUUCCCAUUACUCAGAAACCUGAUCCCAGGUCAGGUGUUGGAAGGGCGGACGUCAACCAGGGAAUUUAACAUGCUGAGGAGAUCUUGGCAGGACAAAAGUGUGUUUUCGGGAUGCUAAAGCAUCGACACUGUCACCCUUCUGCCUUGCAACUUUUAUAUGGGACGCGAAAUUGGGCCACGUAUGUGUUGACAAGCUGUAAAGUGAGAUCCAAAAGCCUUUUCCCCAGUGUGGCUGUAGCUUUAUUAACAUUCCAGUUGCAUUCUGGGAAAGCACAGUUAUUAAAGGCUACCCAUUAGUCGUGGAGGCAGGAGCCGUGGACUUUGCCAGUCAUGGCUGUUGCCUGGAGACGGCGUCUCCCGAGCAGCGGAAGCAGAUAUCAUGCGUACUGGGGUUCGGUGUUGGACAUGAGAGGGAGAACCAACACUAAUCCUCUUCCUGUUGAUUCCACUUUGGAUCCCCAAGCUGCCUCUUCCCACGUUGACACAAAUACUUGGGCUCAUGUGACAUCCUGUAUGGAAGAGGCGAACAAUGACGGACCUCACGUCAAGGCCUGGGAACUGCGCUGUGAGAGACGUACCAUCACACCUCAAACACAUCAAGCCAGUUCCGCUCUCGGCUCUUAAGUGUUUAGUGUCUCGUCACCAAGGUUCAUUUCCCGCAAUACUGGAAAGGAAUGUGUCAGCACUGAUUUUUUUAUUUUUUUUCUCUGUGAAUACAUAAAAUAGAAUACAUACAUAGUAU
Molecule: long non-coding RNA, 2181 nt
Organism: Cyprinus carpio (common carp)
Lineage: Eukaryota; Metazoa; Chordata; Actinopteri; Cypriniformes; Cyprinidae
Exons: 11
Source: RefSeq, a predicted model, not a curated record